Molecule: long non-coding RNA, 980 nt
Organism: Clupea harengus (Atlantic herring)
Lineage: Eukaryota; Metazoa; Chordata; Actinopteri; Clupeiformes; Clupeidae
Source: Ensembl
GCCUGCAUCAGCCCCAAUUUGAGCUCGAGUUAGAUUACCAAGGAAUGUAAGCGCAUCUUCGUUUGGCAUAUUUGGCAGGUUCAGAAAAAAAAACAGCUUACAAAAAAGAAACACACGACUACUUCACUGAACUCAAUUUUAAAAGCCUCCUUAUUACUUGGCUGGUCAACCAUUCAAACGAUGUGGUUGUUAUAAGGCCUAUUUUUUUUAAAUAAUUUAAUUACGUACACAACGAGCAACAAUAGUAUUUGUGACAACAUCUUUGGAAGACUGCAUAUUCUGCGAAGGAGAAAAAUCUAUUUUAUUAUCACGUCCGGCCCCGUGUCGUCGGCUUUCGUGCACUUUCAUAGGUCGGUGAGAGCAAGACGGCGGAGGGGAGCAGCAAGUUAACGAGUGCGCCUGCGAGACUGCGCUACGACGCGGGGGGGAGAGAGGUCCAGCUGCAAAAAAAGACAUGCUGUAACAAUGGCAGCAUCAAGCACCUCGUAGAUGGCAGCGAACACCGGGGGAGAGACGUGAAAAAGGAGUGGAAUAGCAGAUGCCAUGAGUUCGCUUUGACGCUUGGAAAAGCCAUUGCUCCCGGGCGUUUUAUUGGAACAGGAAUUUGUGUUGUAAUGAAAAAUGGAGCGUCGGAGCGAAGAGAAGCGCGCUGCUGUCUCCAUCGCUGAUGGAAGAGGCGCGUCCACCUGCUAACACCGGAGGCCCGGGCUCGGGGUGAACCAUGGGGAAGUGCCUGCACUGAGUAGGAGAAAUAGACACGCUUAUACCGUUAUAACAGGCGAAGGACGUUUUUUUUUUCCUGGACAGGGGCACAAGACAUCGCUGUUUGGCUGCAUUUACAUGUGAAGGGCUGGCAGUCUGACCGAGAGACAGAGAGCACCAAUCGCCUGUUUGAGAAGCUUAGGAUUUUGGCCGAGCUGUCCAUUUGCAGACCUGCAUUGCAUAUGUAUGUAUGUGUGUGUGUGUGUACAUACAGCCAC